This is a long non-coding RNA of Stegastes partitus (bicolor damselfish), 501 nucleotides long. RefSeq lists it as uncharacterized. The transcript is spliced from 3 exons. The record is from RefSeq and is a predicted model, not a curated record. NCBI's taxonomy places the organism in Eukaryota, Metazoa, Chordata, Actinopteri, Pomacentridae.
UGUUGGCGGGCAGAACGGGGUCGGAGCUGGUUGUUAGCGACGCGGCGGAGGCUAUUGUGUGAUUCAGCAGCGAAGCACAUUGCGGGAGAAGUCGCUCCACACACGCCGCCGAGCCUUCGGGUAGUUUUUUUGGUCGCCUCUGGCCUGUCUUCGGCUCGUUCCUCGUCCCCAGCAGACGCUCAAAUCUCGGCGUCUCCACUCGGGCCUGCCCUUAGCCCAUACAAGCGCUCCGAAGCUUUCUCUUUAAAGAUUUCUUCAGUCCAUCACACCAGCAGCACCAGUUGGGGUCCAACGACUGACUGACAUAUAAGCUACCCAACAAAUAUGGACCCUGCAGGACCCACCCUUCUAGCCAGAUCUCUCAAUGAUGAGCUGUCCUCAGCAGACGUCAAGCUGGCGGCCGUAGCAGGAAAGAAGGGCAAGAAGGCCGAGGAGGAGGAGCAGCCUGCAGCACCUGCAGCAGCACCGCCGGCACCACCACCAGCAGCAGCAGCAGCAACG